AAGUCCAAAAGUACCUGGGAGUGUUUCAAACUCGAACACCAUUUUAAAGACGGACGAGAAAGAAGAGGGAGUAAAAGAAGGAAUAAAACUGAAAAAAGAACGAAGGACAACAGCAGAGACAGUUUCCACAGGACGGACAUUCAGCUAAAGAACUACAUUUAACAGAGGUUGGCUAAUUUGGGUCAGAACCCAUUUCUGGUCUAAUCUGUUCUGUAGUGUUCCAGUCUCCUGAGAUAGGGCGCACUGUUUCUAAAAUGAGUCUCUCAGGGGAGCCAGAGACCAAAGAAGGAACCCUCAGCACUAAGAGGAAGAGGGUCCAGGUAGAAAGAGCAAGGUCACCUGCACCCAGCUGUGUGUCCCUGAAGAGUGAUGAUUCAAUGGAACCUCCGCUCAAGAUCAGAAGAGAGUUCACAGGUGACCAAAGGUAAUUAAAUAGGCUUAAAUUGACGCUACUAUUUAACCCCUUAACCCCAAGCAUUUAAAAAGGAAAUUUCCAACCUGGUUUGGAGUGCUCUUAAAGGUCCAGGAAACUAGAUUGUUGUUAUAUUCCCUAGAAGUGACGACAGAUUUUCUUCUUUAUGCUU
Long non-coding RNA from Anguilla rostrata (American eel), 584 nucleotides. RefSeq lists it as uncharacterized. The record is from RefSeq and is a predicted model, not a curated record. Lineage: Eukaryota; Metazoa; Chordata; Actinopteri; Anguilliformes; Anguillidae. The transcript is spliced from 4 exons.